AAACGGGUGGGCCCUCGAAGUCCUGUGGCGGGAGGAUUCAGUCGAAAGGCGGGCGCGUGCGUGCGGGCGGUGUGAUCGUGGUCCCCCUUCCCGGGGGGUCAAUCCGCCCGCGUCACGACGCAGGCCGGCCRACGCAUUUCUUUCCCGUCUGAAGGAAGCCGCAAUCGGUUGGGGGACUGCCUUAAGGAUUGGUGACGGAAGGUUGCCGACGGCUUCCCCUGUGGGAUUUCGCCGGUGUUAUAGCCGACCAGUCGCACGGCGGGUACC
This 267-nucleotide ribosomal RNA is filed under the name Trogloneta sp. MYSM-025-CHILE. RNAcentral's name for it is "partial 28S ribosomal RNA". Lineage: Eukaryota; Metazoa; Arthropoda; Arachnida; Araneae; Mysmenidae. The record is from RNAcentral.